This 429-nucleotide small RNA is filed under the name Drosophila mojavensis. RNAcentral's name for it is "GI26110". Lineage: Eukaryota; Metazoa; Arthropoda; Insecta; Diptera; Drosophilidae. The record is from RNAcentral.
GCGACUGGCGGCCAGCAAACAAACAAUAAUCCCAGCUAGCUAUGGCGAUUCCCUCCGAGUUCCAAUGGAGGCAGCUACCAGCCGGUUGAGACGCACACAAAGACACGAUCGAGCGUCUCAGCUGUUGUGUGAGUGUGUGUGAGCGUGCUGUCAUCUCAUCUGCCAAAUAAGAAAGCACUAGCUCAGUAAAGCAAUGCUAAAUAUAUAUGUACAUAUACUCUGCCAGCUCAGCUCGUCAGCCUGAUCAGGUUGAGUGUGAGAACGUAACUCCCUAGACACUCAGAGAAAAUUAGUGAUCCAUUUUCAGUGGUUCCUCGCCUAUUUAAGUGCGAGCCUGCAGCAGAGCUCGAUCAGUUGUGUUCCUGACGUUGUGGCAUUCAGUUGGCGAGCAGUGUUCCUCUUUUGUGUUGGAUACGUAUUUUAGUUAAU